GAUGAACGCUGGCGGCGUGCCUAAUACAUGCAAGUCGAGCGAACAGACGAGGAGCUUGCUCCUCUGACGUUAGCGGCGGACGGGUGAGUAACACGUGGAUAACCUACCUAUAAGACUGGGAUAACUUCGGGAAACCGGAGCUAAUACCGGAUAACAUGUUGAACCUCAUGGUUCAACAGUGAAAGACGGUCUUGCUGUCACUUAUAGAUGGAUCCGCGCCGCAUUAGCUAGUUGGUAAGGUAACGGCUUACCAAGGCGACGAUGCGUAGCCGACCUGAGAGGGUGAUCGGACACACUGGCACUGAGACACGGUCCAGACUCCUGCGGGAGGCAGCAGUAGGGAAUCUUCCGCAAAGGGCGAAAGCCUGACGGAGCAACGCCGCGUGAGUGAAGAAGGUCUUCGGAUCGUAAAACUCUGUUAUUAGGGAAGAACAAAUGUGUAAGUAACUAUGCACGUCUUGACGGUACCUAAUCAGAAAGCCACGGCUAACUACGUG
Molecule: ribosomal RNA, 497 nt
Filed under: uncultured bacterium
Lineage: Bacteria
Description: partial 16S ribosomal RNA
Rfam family: Bacterial small subunit ribosomal RNA
Source: RNAcentral